CUACGGAGGAUCCGAGCGUUAUCCGGAUUUAUUGGGUUUAAAGGGUGCGCAGGCGGGAGAUUAAGUCGGCGGUGAAAUUUUUCAGCUCAACUGUAAAAGUGCCUUCGAAACUGGUUUCCUUGAGUGUAGAUGAAGUAGGCGGAAUUUGUGGUGUAGCGGUGAAAUGCAUAGAUAUCACGAGGAACUCCGAUUGCGCAGGCAGCUUACUAAACUACUACUGACGCUCAGGCACGAAGGCGUGGGGAUCAAACAGGAUUAGAUACCCUGGUAGUCCACGCAGUAAACGAUGAUUACUAGCUGUUUGCGAUACAAUGUAAGCGGCUGAGCGAAAGCGUUAAGUAAUCCACCUGGGGAGUACGUUCGCAAGAAUGAAACUCAAAUGAAUUGACGGGG
RNAcentral lists this ribosomal RNA (393 nucleotides) under uncultured bacterium. RNAcentral's name for it is "partial 16S ribosomal RNA". It matches the Rfam family "Bacterial small subunit ribosomal RNA", at positions 523 to 918 of the family's 1533-position model. The record is from RNAcentral.